This 514-nucleotide ribosomal RNA is filed under the name uncultured bacterium. Its description in RNAcentral is "partial 16S ribosomal RNA". It matches the Rfam family "Bacterial small subunit ribosomal RNA", at positions 28 to 523 of the family's 1533-position model. The record is from RNAcentral.
GAUGAACGCUGGCGGCGUGCCUAAUACAUGCAAGUCGAGCGAACAGAUGAGAAGCUUGCUUCUCUGAUGUUAGCGGCGGACGGGUGAGUAACACGUGGGUAACCUACCUAUAAGACUGGGAUAACUCCGGGAAACCGGGGCUAAUACCGGAUAAUAUUUUGAACCGCAUGGUUCAAUAGUGAAAGACGGUUUCGGCUGUCACUUAUAGAUGGACCCGCGCCGUAUUAGCUCGUUGGUAAGGUAACGGCUUACAACGGCGACGAUACGUAGCCGACCUGGGAGGGUGAACGGCCACACUGGAACUGAGACACGGUCCAGACUCCUACGGGAGGCAGCAGUAGGGAAUCUUCCGCAAUGGGCGAAAGCCUGACGGAGCACCGCCGCGUGAGUGAUGAAGGCCUUCGGAUCGUAAAACUCUGUUGUUAGGGAAGAACAAAUUUGUUAGUAACUGAACAAGUCUUGACGGUACCUAACCAGAAAGCCACGGCUAACUACGUGCCAGCCGCCGCGGUAA